Molecule: ribosomal RNA, 224 nt
Filed under: uncultured bacterium
Lineage: Bacteria
Description: partial 16S ribosomal RNA
Rfam family: Bacterial small subunit ribosomal RNA
Source: RNAcentral
AAUCAACGCUGGCGGCGUGCCUAACACAUGCAAGUCGAACGCGAAAGGGGAGCAAUCCCUGAGUAGAGUGGCAAACGGGUGAGUAACACGUGGGUGACCUGCCUUCGAGUGGGGGAGUAACGUCCCGAAACGGGACGCUAAUACCGCAUGACAUCCUGCUCUUGGAAGAGCGGAGAUCAAAGCUGGGGAUCGCAAGACCUGGCGCUUGAAGAGGGGCCCGCGCC